This 567-nucleotide ribosomal RNA is filed under the name Triticum aestivum (bread wheat). Its description in RNAcentral is "partial small subunit ribosomal RNA". The record is from RNAcentral. Lineage: Eukaryota; Viridiplantae; Streptophyta; Magnoliopsida; Poales; Poaceae.
AUGCCCCACCUCGCAGCGUCCCCCGCGUCCGCGUUCGCCGUCGCCGGGUUCCGGCCCCCACCCCGCGCGCCGACGCGGGCGCGGGCGUCUGCCACGGCCGGAGGAGCCGCGCGCACGGCCACGGCGGUGCAGCAGCAGACGCAGCAGCCGACGUUCUACGACCUGCUGGGGAUCUCGCCGGAGGGGAGCACCUUCGAGGACGUGCGGGCGGCGUACCGGCGGAUGGCGCGCAAGUACCACCCGGACGUGUCCCCGCCGGACGCCACCAAGGAGCACACGCGCCGCUUCAUCCAGGUGCAGGAGGCCUACGAGACGCUCUCCGACCCCAGCCGCCGCACCAGCUACGACCGCGCCCUCGCCCGCGGCGUCUGCCGCCUCGCCUUCUCCCCCGCCGCGCGCCGCCACGACGCCUCCGCCUUCUACCACCAGGAGCAGGAAGAGAGGUCUGGAUGGAGGACGUCCUGGGAAGGCCAAAUAUCCGAGCUGAAGAAGCGGAGCACGGUGAAGGACGCAGAAGAGAACCUAUCCUGGGGAGCUCAGAUGCGAAGAAGGGCUGAACAAUUGUGA